This 363-nucleotide ribosomal RNA is filed under the name uncultured rumen bacterium. RNAcentral's name for it is "bacterial SSU rRNA". It matches the Rfam family "Bacterial small subunit ribosomal RNA", at positions 19 to 363 of the family's 1533-position model. The record is from RNAcentral.
UUGGCUCAGGAUGAACGCUGGCGGCGUGCCUAACACAUGCAAGUCGAACGAAGCACUGGAAUUGAUUUCUUCGGAAUGAUUUUUCUUUGACUGAGUGGCGGACGGGUGAGUAACACGUGAGCAACCUGCCUUUCAGAGCGGGAUAGCAGUUGGAAACGACUGAUAAUACCGCAUGACAUGUCUCUUCCGCAUGAGAGAGACMUCAAAUGAUUUUUCGCUGAAAGAUGGGCUCGCGUCCGAUUAGGUAGUUGGUGAGGCAACGGCUCACCAAGCCGACGAUCGGUAGCCGGACUGAGAGGUCGAUCGGCCACAUUGGGACUGAGACACGGCCCAGACUCCUACGGGAGGCAGCAGUGGGGAAUA